CAGGGAUUGCCCUAGUAACGGCGAGUGAAGCGGCANCAGCUCAAAUUUGAAAUCUGGCUCUUUUAGAGUCCGAGUUGUAAUUUGCAGAGGGCGCUUUGGCUUUGGCAGCGGUCCAAGUUCCUUGGAACAGGACGUCACAGAGGGUGAGAAUCCCGUACGUGGUCGCUAGCUAUUGCCGUGUAAAGCCCCUUCGACGAGUCGAGUUGUUUGGGAAUGCAGCUCUAAAUGGGAGGUAAAUUUCUUCUAAAGCUAAAUAUUGGCCAGAGACCGAUAGCGCACAAGUAGAGUGAUCGAAAGAUGAAAAGCACUUUGGAAAGAGAGUCAAACAGCACGUGAAAUUGUUGAAAGGGAAGCGCUUGCAGCCAGACUUGCUUGCAGUUGCUCAUCCGGGCUUUUGCCCGGUGCACUCUUCUGCAGGCAGGCCAGCAUCAGUUUGGGCGGUGGGAUAAAGGUCUCUGACACGUUCCUUCCUUCGGGUUGGCCAUAUAGGGGAGACGUCAUACCACCAGCCUGGACUGAGGUCCGCGCAUCUGCUAGGAUGCUGGCGUAAUGGCUGUAAGCGGCCCGUCUUGAAACACGGACCAAGGAGUCUAACAUCUAUGCGAGUGUUUGGGUGUCAAGCCCGAGCGCGUAAUGAAAGUGAACGGAGGUGGGAACCCGCAAGGGUGCACCAUCGACCGAUCCUGAAGUUUACGGAAGGAUUUGAGUAAGAGCAUGGCUGUUGGGACCCGAAAGAUGGUGAACUAUGCUUGAAUAGGGUGAAGCCAGAGGAAACUCUGGUGGAGGCUCGCAGCGGUUCUGACGUGCAAAUCGAUCGUCAAAUUUGGGCAUAGGGGCGAAAGACUAAUCGAACUAUCUAGUA
This 862-nucleotide ribosomal RNA is filed under the name Curvularia lunata. Its description in RNAcentral is "LSU rRNA". It matches the Rfam family "Eukaryotic large subunit ribosomal RNA", at positions 69 to 949 of the family's 3401-position model. The record is from RNAcentral. Lineage: Eukaryota; Fungi; Ascomycota; Dothideomycetes; Pleosporales; Pleosporaceae.